Molecule: ribosomal RNA, 276 nt
Filed under: uncultured prokaryote
Description: partial 16S ribosomal RNA
Rfam family: Bacterial small subunit ribosomal RNA
Source: RNAcentral
UACGUAGGGGCUAGCGUUAUCCGGAAUUACUGGGCGUAAAGGGUGCGUAGGCGGUCUUUCAAGCCAGAAGUGAAAGGCUACGGCUCAACCGUAGUAAGCCUUUGAAACUGGGAAACUUGAGUGCAGGAGAGGAGAGUGGAAUUCCUAGUGUAGCGGUGAAAUGCGUAGAUAUUAGGAGGAACACCAGUUGCGAAGGCGGCUCUCUGGACUGUAACUGACACUGAGGCACGAAAGCGUGGGGAGCAAACAGGAUUAGAUACCCGGGUAGUCCCUGAG